CGAAUCAACGCUGGCGGCGUGCCUAACACAUGCAAGUCGCACGAGAAAGGGACUUCGGUCCUGAGUAAAGUGGCGCACGGGUGAGUAACACGUGAAUCAUCUACCUCCGAGUGGGGAAUAACCUAGAGAAAUCUGGGCUAAUACCGCAUAACACUUACGAGUCAAAGCAGCAAUGCGCUUGGAGAGGAGUUCGCGGCAGAUUAGUUAGUUGGCGGGGUAAUGGCCCACCAAGACGAUGAUCUGUA
This 245-nucleotide ribosomal RNA is filed under the name uncultured bacterium. Its description in RNAcentral is "partial small subunit ribosomal RNA". It matches the Rfam family "Bacterial small subunit ribosomal RNA", at positions 27 to 285 of the family's 1533-position model. The record is from RNAcentral.